Molecule: non-coding RNA, 596 nt
Organism: Taeniopygia guttata (zebra finch)
Lineage: Eukaryota; Metazoa; Chordata; Aves; Passeriformes; Estrildidae
Source: RefSeq, a predicted model, not a curated record
AGCCAGCUCUCUUGGAGUGUCCAGCUGAGCACAAAAAGCAGGCGACUCAGCCAGAGGACUCGCAGUCUCCUCAGCCAGAUUUCCAAAGGCAGCAGUUCCUAGGAAAGGUUUUAUCCGUGCCUUCCCUGGGCAGUGCAGAACAAUCCCAUGGCCUUCAGAGGGAAAAGUGGACCUGAAUGUUCUAAGAAGAUUUAGAAGCACCAUUGAAAUACUCCUGCACAUUGAAUAAUCUGCUGAAGAAGGAGAGGUAAAUCCUGGUUCAGCCAUCCCUUCUCCAAGAACCUCAUCCUGCAUCCAUCAUUCAUGCAAUGCCUUGACUUGGGAGACAUCGAGUGGCAAAGCAGAAGGCUCAGUUACAGAGCCACAAAGCAGGACUGAGGUCAGGUACUGGAUGUUCUUAAUGGCUUUGGUGUUUCUCAAGCUAAAUUUGACAUUCUGCUUGCAUUCAAAUGGUUCUUUCUGGUGGGGAGAACCAAAAUGGCUUCAGCAGGGCAGUCUUUGCCCUUGGUUGGUAAUUGUAGGGUUUUAAACAGAACAGAAAGAACAUUUGGUUAUUACACAGGAGACCCUUGGACAGUACACAUCAGCCUCUUCCA